This 4538-nucleotide long non-coding RNA is filed under the name Salmo salar (Atlantic salmon). RNAcentral describes it as "lncRNA (ENSSSAG00000098094.1)". The record is from RNAcentral. Lineage: Eukaryota; Metazoa; Chordata; Actinopteri; Salmoniformes; Salmonidae.
CCCGCUAUCAUCCAGGCGAGGUCAGAACAGGUGCAUCAAAGCGGGGACUGAGAGACUGAAAAACAGUCUCUAUCUCAAGGCCAUCAGACUGUUAAACAGCCAUCACUAGGACAUUAGAGGCUGCUGCCUAUAGGCAUAGACUAGAAAUCACUGGCCAUUUUAAGAAAUGGAACACUAGUCACUUUAAUAAUGUUUACAUAUCUGGCAUUACUCAUCUCACAUGUAUAUACUGUUUUUCUAUACUAUUCUACAGUAUCUCAUUCACUUAAAAAUGCUUCCAUAUCUUGCAUUACUCAUCUCAUAUGUAUAUACUGUUUUUCUACACUAUUCUACUGUAUCUUAGACUGUUCUGCUCUGACAUCGCUCGUCCAUAUGUACAGUUGAAGUCAGAAGUUUACAUACACUUAGGUUGGAGUCAUUAAAACUCAAUUUUUCAACCACUUAACAAACUAUAGUUUUGGCAAGUAGGUUAGGACAUCUACUUUGUGCAUGACAAUUGUUUACAGACAGAUUAUUUCACUUAUAAUUCACUGUAUCACAAUUCUAGUGGGUCAGAAGUUUACAUAUACACUAAGUUGACUGUGCCUUUAAACUGCUUGGAAAAUUCCAGAAAAUGUCAUGGCUCUAGAAGCUUCUGAUAGGCUAAUUGACAUAAUUUGAGUCAAUUGGAGGUGUACCUGUGGAUGUAUUUCAAGGCCUACCUUCAAACCCAGUGCCUCUUUGCUUGACAUCAUAGGAAAAUCAAAAGAAAUGGUAGACCACCAUAAGUCUGGUUCAUCCUUGGGAGCAAUUUCCAAACGCCUGAAGGUACCACGUUCAUCUGUACAAACAAUAGUAUGCAAGUAUAAACACCAUGGGACCACGCAGCCGUCAUAUCGCUUAGAAAGGAGACGUGUUCUGUCCCCUAGAGAUGAACGUACUUUGGUGCAUAUCAAUCCCAGAACAACAGCAAAGGACCUUGUGAAGAUGCUGGAGGAAACGGGUGCAAAAGUAUCUAUAUCCACAGUAAAAUGAGUCCUAUAUCGACAUAACCUGAAAGGCCGCUCAGCAAAGAAGAAGCCACUGCUACAAAACCGCCAUAAAAAAGCCAGACUACGGUUUGCAACUGCACAUGGGGGCAAAGAUUGUACUUUUUGGAGAAAUGUCCUCUGGUCUGAUGAAACAAAAAUAGAACUGUUUGGCCAUAAUGACCCUCAUUAUGUUUGGAGGAAAAAGGGCGAGGCUUGCAAGCCGAAGUACACCAUCCCAACUAUGAAGCACGGAGGUGGCAGCAUCAUGUUGUGGGGGUGCUUUGCUGCACUUCACAAAAUCGAUGGCAUCAUGUGGAAGGAAAAGUAUGUGGAUAUAUUGAAGCAACAUCUCAAGACAUCAGUCAGGAAGUUAAAGCUUGGGUCUUCCAAAUGGACAAUUUUUUUUAACCUUUAUUUAACUAGGCAAGUCAGUUAAGAACAAAUUCUUAUUUUCAAUGAUGGCCUAGGAACAGUGGGUUAACUGCCUUGUUCAGGGGCAGAACAACAGAUGUUUUACCUUGUCAGCUCAGGGAUUCAAUCUUACAACCUUUUGGUUACUAGUCCAACGCUCUAACCAUUAGGCUACCUGCCGCCCAUACUUUCAGCGCUCUAACCACUAGGCUACCUGCCGCCCAUACGAGCGUACUUCCAAAGUUGUGGAAAAAUGGCUUAAGGACAACAAAGUCAAUGUAUUGGAGUGGCCAUCACAAAGCCUUGACCUCAAUCCCAUAGAACAUUUGUGGGCAGAACUGAAAAAGCACAUGCGAGCAAGGAGGCCUACAAACCUAACUCAGUUACACCAGCUCUGUCAGGAGAAAUGGGCCAAAAUUCACCCACUUAUUGUGGGAAGCUUGUGGAAGGCUACCUGAAACAUUUGAACACAGAGUUGGAAUGAAACAGUUGCACACAGUUCCCUUUGAAAGGAACAGUGAGCGGGUCAAGGAACUCCGCCACCAAUACGUCCACGUAUGGUGUCUAUCCAAUAUGUCUAGUUCUAUAUAGUGAGUUUUACACUAUGGGGUCAGGGAACUCUGGCACCAAUACAUCCAGGUAUGGUGUCUAUCCAAUAUGUCUAGUUCUAUAUAGUGAGUUUUACACUAUGGGGUCAGGGAACUCUGGCACCAAUACAUCCAGGUAUGGUGUCUAUCCAAUAUGUCUAGUUCUAUAUAGUGAGUUUUACACUAUGGGGUCAGGGAACUCUGGCACCAAUACAUCCAGGUAUGGUGUCUAUCCAAUAUGUCUAGUUCUAUAUAGUGAGUUUUACACUAUGGGGUCAGGGAACUCUGGCACCAAUACAUCCAGGUAUGGUGUCUAUCCAAUAUGUCUAGUUCUAUAUAGUGAGUUUUACACUAUGCUACUCUACAUGUUAACAUGGGUUACAGUAGGACACUAUGCUACUCUACAUGUUAACAUGGGUUACAGUACAUACAGUUGGAACACUAUGCUACUCUACAUGUUAACAUGGGUUACAGUAGGACACUAUGCUACUCUACAUGUAAACAUGGGUUACAGUACAUUCAGUAGGACACUAUGCUACUCUACAUGUUAACAUGGGUUACAGUACAUACAUUAGGACACUAUGCUACUCUACAUGUUAACAUGGGUUACAGUACAUACAGUAGGACACUAUGCUACUCUACAUGUUAACAUGGGUUACAGUAGGACACUAUGCUACUCUACAUGUAAACAUGGGUUACAGUAGGACACUAUGCUACUCAACAUGUUAACAUGGGUUACAGUACAUACAUUAGGACACUAUGCUACUCUACAUGUUAACAUGGGUUACAGUACAUACAGUAGGACACUAUGCUACUCUACAUGUUAACAUGGGUUACAGUACAUACAGUAGGACACUAUGCUACUCUACAUGUUAACAUGGGUUACAGUACAUACAGUAGGACACUAUUCUACUCUACAUGUAAACAUGGGUUACAGUACAUACAGUAGGACCCUAUGCUACUCUACAUGUUAACAUGGGUUACAGUAGGACACUAUGCUACUCUACAUGUUAACAUGGGUUACAGUAGGACACUAUGCUACUCUACAUGUUAACAUGGGUUACAGUAGGACACUAUGCUACUCUACAUGUUAACAUGGGUUACAGUAGGACACUAUGCUACUCUACAUGUUAACAUGGGUUACAGUAGGACACUAUGCUACUCUACAUGUUAACAUGGGUUACAGUAGAACACUAUGCUACUCUACAUGUUAACAUGGGUUACAGUAGGACACUAUGCUACUCUACAUGUUAACAUGGGUUACAGUAGGACACUAUGCUACUCUACAUGUUAACAUGGGUUACAGUAGGACACUAUGCUACUCUACAUGUUAACAUGGGUUACUGUAGGACACUAUGCUACUCUACAUGUUAACAUGGGUUACUGUAGGACACUAUGCUACUCUACAUGUUAACAUGGGUUACAGUAGGACACUAUGCUACUCUACAUGUUAACAUGGGUUACAGUAGGACACUAUGCUACUCUACAUGUUAACAUGGGUUACAGUAGGACACUAUGCUACUCUACAUGUUAACAUGGGUUACAGUAGGACACUAUGCUACUCUACAUGUUAACAUGGGUUACAGUAGGACACUAUGCUACUCUACAUGUUAACAUGGGUUACAGUACAUACGGUAGGACACUAUGCUACUCUACAUGUUAACAUGGGUUACAGUACAUACGGUAGGACACUAUGCUACUCUACAUGUUAACAUGGGUUACAGUAGGACACUAUGCUACUCUACAUGUUAACAUGGGUUACAGUAGGACACUAUGCUACUCUACAUGUUAACAUGGGUUACAGUAGGACACUAUGCUACUCUACAUGUUAACAUGGGUUACAGUAGGACACUAUGCUACUCUACAUGUUAACAUGGGUUACAGUACAUACAGUAGGACACUAUGCUACUCUACAUGUUAACAUGGGUUACAGUAGGACACUAUGCUACUCUACAUGUUAACAUGGGUUACAGUAGGACACUAUGCUACUCUACAUGUUAACAUGGGUUACAGUAGGACACUAUGCUACUCUACAUGUUAACAUGCGUUACAGUAGGACACUAUGCUACUCUACAUGUUAACAUGGGUUACAGUACAUACAGUAGGACACUAUGCUACUCUACAUGUUAACAUGGGUUACAGUACAUACAGUAGGACACUAUGCUACUCUACAUGUUAACAUGGGUUACAGUACAUACAGUAGGACACUAUGCUACUCUACAUGUUAACAUGGGUUACAGUACAUACAGUAGGACACUAUGCUACUCUACAUGUAAACAUGGGUUACAGUACAUACAGUAGGACACUAUGCUACUCUACAUGUUAACAUGGGUUACAGUACAUACAGUAGGACACUAUGCUACUCUACAUGUUAACAUGGGUUACAGUACAUACAGUAGGACACUAUGCUACUCUACAUGUAAACAUGGGUUAUAGUAGGACACUAUGCUACUCUACAUGUUAACAUGGGUUACAGUACAUACAGUAGGACACUAUGCUACUCUACAUGUUAACAUGGGUUACAGUACAU